RNAcentral lists this ribosomal RNA (292 nucleotides) under uncultured bacterium. RNAcentral describes it as "partial 16S ribosomal RNA". The record is from RNAcentral.
GGACUACCCGGGUAUCUAAUCCUGUUUGAUCCCCAUGCUUUCGCAUCUCAGUGUCAGUACUGGACCAGUGAGCCGCCUUCGCCACCGAUGUUCCUCCUGAUAUCUACGUAUUUUACCACUACACCAGGAAUUCCGCUCACCUCUUCCGUACUCAAGCUUGGCAGUUUCAAGUGCACGUCCUGGGUUAAGCCCAGGGAUUUCACACCUGACUUUUCAAGCCACCUACAUGCGCUUUACGCCCAAUGAUUCCGAACAACGCUAGGGACCUUCGUAUUACCGCGGCUGCUGGCAC